RNAcentral lists this long non-coding RNA (1099 nucleotides) under Heterocephalus glaber (naked mole-rat). RNAcentral's name for it is "lncRNA (ENSHGLG00100044584.1)". The record is from RNAcentral. Lineage: Eukaryota; Metazoa; Chordata; Mammalia; Rodentia; Bathyergidae.
CUCUUGGUACCUUUCAGCCAUGACACUGACUUGACCACACUGGAAUUCAGUUUCCAGUCUGUCACCUUCACUUCAACCUAGAAGACGCCCGUGCCCUCAGUGAGUACUCAGUAAGGAUAUUAGUGUAUUCAGCAAUGCAUUCAACUAUCUCAUUCUUUGCUGAAACUAGCCAGGAUUGAACCUGAUUACUGUUUGGACGGAAGAAAGGCCAAGCAGAUGCUCCUACCUGGAUUUUGGCUCUGGAAGUGUUGACACAAGUUCAGUUGGAGGUAAUGCAGCAAGUCUAGAUGUCCGCCCAAAGCCUCAUGUGGUCAUAGGCAGCUGAAUCAAGACUGUGUGAUGCUGGGAUUGAGGGUGGGUGAUUACUAAAUCAGUCCACUGAUUGGUUUGGCACCACCCUAAUCCCAGUACCUGGAUACAAUAUGAGGGACAGAAAGAGGCUUGACUUCUCCCUUGUUGCUUCUGCUACUGUGUGAGCACCAUGAACUGCCAUCCUCUGCCAUACCACCCUGCCUUGGAGCCAGGACUGAAACCUCUACAAACUGGGACCUAAAUAAACCUUUCCCUCUGUAAUUUGGGGGGUAUUUUGUCUCAACAACAAGAGAAAAGACUUUAUUUUUGCAUGAGAAAUGAGGUAGGGGUCUACCAUGGUUUGGAUAUCAUUCGUCCCCACCAAAACUUGUGUUGAAGUUUGGUUCCUGUGUGGCAGUGUCAGGAGAACCAUCAGGGAAGCUGGACACUUGCAGCUCUCAUCAAGGUUGGCACCACCACCAAACAGGCUGGCCACACUGAUUUGCUCCUGGUUUACUGUGUCCACUACGAGGACUGUUGGAUCUUUUCUGCUUGUCUCUGAACUUUUGCUGUCACACCUUUAAACUCAAAGUAGAAGUGUCCACUGGAUAGGAAUAGGCCCUAGGCUGGUCAGUAACCUCAGAAGUAGGAGAGGAUGCAUCCUCUCCUUCCAGCUUCUAUAGGGGGAAGCAGAGCUGCCUCCUGUCUUCCUUGAGGUCUGCCUGAAAGGAAGAUUAUUCAGUGCUGGACAGCCAAAAAUGACAAACAUCCACUAUAACCCGCUCCUGUGUAGUGUCAUAUUGAUAGC